Equus quagga is the source of this 404-nucleotide long non-coding RNA. RefSeq lists it as uncharacterized. NCBI's taxonomy places the organism in Eukaryota, Metazoa, Chordata, Mammalia, Perissodactyla, Equidae. The transcript is spliced from 3 exons. The record is from RefSeq and is a predicted model, not a curated record.
UGAGGUUGGUGAAAGUGGAAGCAGCCUCGACCUUCAUUUCACGGAUGCAGAAAACACGGGGUGAAGGGUAAAACGACUCCCAGCAGUCAUCAGUGAACCACGUGGGUCAGGCGACUGGACAGGAAUUUUAAAAUCUAGACUCCCCAGGGGACUCGGGCACGACAGCACCCUUACCGGCUGGCGACUGCACGCACAGACGCAACCACUGCAGGCCUUUCAUCCGCGGUUGGCUGACGCUGGAUGUGGAACCCACGGAUUCCGAGGGCCGACUGCACAGCAAAAAGACAGAGACGAAAUAUACAAAUAUGUUAACAGUGAUUGUCUCUCUGGUGGGAUUAUGGUACUACUUUAUGGCAAGAUCUUUUGGGAGAGCCAGUCCCUGGCUUAAUUAUACAAGUGACACG